This 475-nucleotide ribosomal RNA is filed under the name uncultured bacterium. Its description in RNAcentral is "bacterial SSU rRNA". It matches the Rfam family "Bacterial small subunit ribosomal RNA", at positions 15 to 518 of the family's 1533-position model. The record is from RNAcentral.
GAUCAUGGCUCAGGAUUAACGCUGGCGGCGUGCCUAAUACAUGCAAGUCGAAUGGUAGCAAUACCAUGGCGAACGGGUGAGUAACACGUAGGUAACCUGUCUUUAAGCCGAGGAUAACCAUUGGAAACGAUGGAUAAUACUGGAUAGGACAUUUGAAGGCAUCUUUUAAUGUUUAAAGAUUUAUCACUUAGAGAGGGGCCUGCGGCGCAUUAGCUAGUUGGUGAGGUGAAGGCUUACCAAGGCGAUGAUGCGUAGCCGGACUGAGAGGUUGAACGGCCACAAUGGAACUGAGAACGGUCCAUACUCCUACGGGAGGCAGCAGUAGGGAAUUUUCGGCAAUGGGCGGAAGCCUGACCGAGCAACGCCGCGUGAACGAAGAAGUAUUUCGGUAUGUAAAGUUCUUUUAUUAGGGACGAAAAGACAGAUUGACGGUACCUAAUGAAUAAGCUCCGGCUAACUACGUGCCAGCAGCCGC